Molecule: ribosomal RNA, 279 nt
Filed under: uncultured bacterium
Lineage: Bacteria
Description: partial 16S ribosomal RNA
Rfam family: Bacterial small subunit ribosomal RNA
Source: RNAcentral
UGCCAGCCGCCGCGGUAAUACGGAGGGCGCAAGCGUUGUUCGGAUUCACUGGGCAUAAAGAGCAUGUAGGCGGUCUACUCAGUCGGAUGUGAAAGCCCUCGGCCCAACCGGGGAACUGCAUCCGAUACUGGUGGACUAGAGGACGACAGGGGUGAGUGGAACUCCAGGUGGAACGGUGAAAUGUGUAGAUAUCUGGAGGAACACCGGUGGCGAAAGCGGCUCACUGGGUCGUCUCUGACGCUGAGAUGCGAAAGCCAGGGGAGCGAACGGGAUUAGAUA